GGCGAGAUGGCCGAGCGGUCCAUGGCGGUGGUUUUGGGCACCAGUCUCUUCGGUGGCGUGGGUUCGAAUCCAGCUAUCGUCA
Toxocara canis (dog roundworm) is the source of this 82-nucleotide transfer RNA. It matches the Rfam family "tRNA". From Rfam's summary of the family: Transfer RNA (tRNA) molecules are approximately 80 nucleotides in length. Their secondary structure includes four short double-helical elements and three loops (D, anti-codon, and T loops). The record is from Rfam. Lineage: Eukaryota; Metazoa; Nematoda; Chromadorea; Rhabditida; Toxocaridae.